AUGGAUUUGUGCUGUGCAGUACACGAUUCUCCAGCUAAGUGGGCGGCGUGGCUUCCUCAAGCAGAGUUCUGGUAUAAUUCUACAUACCACUCUUCCUUGGGAUGUACCCCUUACAAAGCUUUAUAUGGACAGAACCCAAACAUGGGGCAGCUGGAAGGACAUUCCACUUCUAUGAAUCCUGAUGUGCAAACUUGGUUGUCCUCUAAUACUCAACUUAUAGUUGUGUUAAAGGAUCAUCUGGCCAGAGCUCAAUGCAAGUAUAAGCAUUUUGCUAACAGAAAAAGGUUUGAUCGCCAGUUUGCAGUUGGGGAGAUGGUUUACUUGUGCUUCCAACCCUAUGCCCGGUCGUUAGUGGUCAAUCGCCCUUGUCCCAAAUUAGCUCUCAAGUAUUUUGGGUCAUUUAAAGUGCUGGACAAAAUAGGCAUUGCGGUCUACCGUCUGGAGUUGCCGCGCGGCAGUAUGGUUCAUCUGGUGUUCCAUGUCUCUCAGCUCAAGACUCACGUUCCAAAUCAUACUCUAGUGUUUACUAUGUUGCCUGUUCCUCUUGAUCUGUCUGUGCCGGGAGUACUACUUGAAGAGAUUCUGGAUCGCCGACUGGUUAAAAAAGGAAAUGCCUCUCAUCUCCAAAUAUUGGUCAAAUGGACGUUUAUGCCUGCAUCUUCGGCGACUUGGGAGGAUUACCAAGCACUCAAGGAUCGUUAUCCAGAUCCA
This 711-nucleotide ribosomal RNA is filed under the name Triticum aestivum (bread wheat). RNAcentral's name for it is "partial small subunit ribosomal RNA". Lineage: Eukaryota; Viridiplantae; Streptophyta; Magnoliopsida; Poales; Poaceae. The record is from RNAcentral.